This 253-nucleotide ribosomal RNA is filed under the name uncultured bacterium. Its description in RNAcentral is "partial 16S ribosomal RNA". It matches the Rfam family "Bacterial small subunit ribosomal RNA", at positions 524 to 776 of the family's 1533-position model. The record is from RNAcentral.
UACGUAGGAGGCAAGCGUUGUCCGGAAUUACUGGGCGUAAAGCGCGUGUAGGUGGUGGGACAAGUCUGCUGUGAAAGCGCCUGGCUUAACCGGGCGAGGUCGGCGGAAACUGUCCGACUCGAGGACGGUAGAGGGGGGUGGAAUUCCCGGUGUAGUGGUGAAAUGCGUAGAGAUCGGGAGGAACACCUGUGGCGAAGGCGGCCCCCUGGGCCGGCCCUGACACUGAGAAGCGAAAGCAUGGGGAGCGAACAGG